GCGGUUUUUUAAGUCUGAUGUGAAAGCCUUCGGCUCAACCGAAGAAGUGCAUCGGAAACUGGGAAACUUGAGUGCAGAAGAGGACAGUGGAACUCCAUGUGUAGCGGUGAAAUGCGUAGAUAUAUGGAAGAACACCAGUGGCGAAGGCGGCUGUCUGGUCUGUAACUGACGCUGAGGCUCGAAAGUAUGGGUAGCAAACAGGAUUAGAUACCCUGGUAGUCCAUACCGUAAACGAUGAAUGCUAAGUGUUGGAGGGUUUCCGCCCUUCAGUGCUGCAGCUAACGCAUUAAGCAUUCCGCCUGGGGAGUACGGCCGCAAGGCUGAAACUCAAAGGAAUUGACGGGGGCCCGCACAAGCGGUGGAGCAUGUGGUUUAAUUCGAAGCUACGCGAAGAACCUUACCAGGUCUUGACAUACUAUGCAAAUCUAAGAGAUUAGACGUUCCCUUCGGGGACAUGGAUACAGGUGGUGCAUGGUUGUCGUCAGCUCGUGUCGUGAGAUGUUGGGUUAAGUCCCGCAACGAGCGCAACCCUUAUUAUCAGUUGCCAGCAUUAAGUUGGGCACUCUGGUGAGACUGCCGGUGACAAACCGGAGGAAGGUGGGGAUGACGUCAAAUCAUCAUGCCCCUUAUGACCUGGGCUACACACGUGCUACAAUGGAUGGUACAACGAGUUGCGAACUCGCGAGAGUAAGCUAAUCUCUUAAAGCCAUUCUCAGUUCGGAUUGUAGGCUGCAACUCGCCUACAUGAAGUCGGAAUCGCUAGUAAUCGCGGAUCAGCAUGCCGCGGUGAAAUACGUUCCCGGGCCUUGUACACACCGCCCGUCACACCAUGAGAGUUUGUAACACCCAAAGUCGGUGGGGUAACCUUUUAGGAACCAGCCGCCUAAGGUGGGACAGAUGAUUAGGGUGAAGUCGUAC
Molecule: ribosomal RNA, 918 nt
Filed under: Lactiplantibacillus plantarum
Lineage: Bacteria; Bacillati; Bacillota; Bacilli; Lactobacillales; Lactobacillaceae
Description: bacterial SSU rRNA
Rfam family: Bacterial small subunit ribosomal RNA
Source: RNAcentral